AACGCACAUUGCACUCUAUUUCGGUAGAGUAUGCCUGUUUGAGAAUCUAUAGUAUUUAUUUUGCCUUUUUGCUUUUAACAGAGCAACUAUGCAGAGAUCUGAGGCCUGACUACUUUUGAAGUCUGCCUUGAAAUCUAUAGCUGAACUGUGCUUAGAGUGUUUGACUUUUUGCAAAGCAUCAGAAACGUAUUUGAAUGGGAUUAAUUUCUCUUAUAAUGCUUACUACGAUGCAGCAAGAAUUAGCUCAAAAGUGCUUUGCAGUCCAUAACUUUAAAGCCGUAAAACAGCUUGAACCAUGGUCUCAAAUCAGGUAGGAAUACCCGCUGAACUUAA
Molecule: unclassified non-coding RNA, 333 nt
Filed under: uncultured fungus
Lineage: Eukaryota; Fungi
Description: partial contains 5.8S ribosomal RNA, internal transcribed spacer 2, and large subunit ribosomal RNA
Source: RNAcentral